Molecule: ribosomal RNA, 329 nt
Filed under: uncultured eukaryote
Lineage: Eukaryota
Description: partial 18S ribosomal RNA
Rfam family: Eukaryotic small subunit ribosomal RNA
Source: RNAcentral
CCCUUAGAUGUUCUGGGCUGCACGCGCGCUACACUGAUGCGCUCAACGAGUUUUGACCUUGCCCGGCAGGGUUGGGUAAUCUUUUUAAAACGCAUCGUGAUGGGGAUAGAUUAUUGCAAUUAUUAAUCUUCAACGAGGAAUUCCUAGUAAGCGCGAGUCAUCAGCUCGUGCUGAUUACGUCCCUGCCCUUUGUACACACCGCCCGUCGCUCCUACCGAUUGAAUGAUCCGAUGAAUACCAUGGAUUGAGAGUACGAAUGGGUUCGCUCAUUUCUGCUGCUCGAGAAGUGGAGUAAAUCUUAUCAUUUAGAGGAAGGAGAAGUCGUAACA